AGUGCAGGCGGCUACGUCAGUCGGAUGUGAAAGCCCCGGGCUUAACCUGGGAAUUGCAUUCGAUACUGCGUGGCUAGAGUCUGAUAGAGGGAAGUGGAAUUCCAGGUGUAGCGGUGAAAUGCGUAGAUAUCUGGAGGAACAUCAGUGGCGAAGGCGGCUUCCUGGAUCAAGACUGACGCUCAGGCUCGAAAGCGUGGGUAGCAAACAGGAUUAGAUACCCUGGUAGUCC
RNAcentral lists this ribosomal RNA (229 nucleotides) under uncultured bacterium. RNAcentral's name for it is "partial 16S ribosomal RNA". It matches the Rfam family "Bacterial small subunit ribosomal RNA", at positions 568 to 796 of the family's 1533-position model. The record is from RNAcentral.